GAUGAACGCUGGCGGCGUGCUUAACACAUGCAAGUCGAACGGAAAGGCCCAAGCUUGCUUGGGUACUCGAGUGGCGAACGGGUGAGUAACACGUGUGGGAUCUGCCCUGCACUUCGGGAUAAGCCUUGGAAACUGGGUCUAAUACCGGAUAUGACCACUUCUUGGAUGUUGUGGUGGACAGUUUUUUCGUUUUGGGAUGAGCUCGCGGGCUAUCAGCUUGUUGGUGGGUUAAUGGCCUACCAAGGCGUCGACGGGUAGCCGGCCUGUGAGGGUGUAACGCGACACUGGGACUGAGAGAAGGCACAGAUACCGAAGGGAGGCAGCAGGGGGGAAGAUUGCAGAAUGGGCGCAAGCCUGAUGCAGCGAGGCUGCGUGGCGGAGGACGGUCUUAGGGUUGAAAACUACUUUUGCUAGGGACGAAGCGCUUUGUGACGGUACCUGGAGAAGAAGCACCGGCUAACUACGUG
This 467-nucleotide ribosomal RNA is filed under the name uncultured bacterium. RNAcentral's name for it is "partial 16S ribosomal RNA". It matches the Rfam family "Bacterial small subunit ribosomal RNA", at positions 28 to 507 of the family's 1533-position model. The record is from RNAcentral.